Molecule: ribosomal RNA, 241 nt
Filed under: uncultured bacterium
Lineage: Bacteria
Description: partial 16S ribosomal RNA
Rfam family: Bacterial small subunit ribosomal RNA
Source: RNAcentral
UACGUAGGGUGCAAGCGUUGUCCGGAAUUAUUGGGCGUAAAGAGCUCGUAGGCGGUUUGUUGCGUCGGCUGUGAAAUCCCGAGGCUCAACCUCGGGUCUGCAGUCGAUACGAGCAAACUAGAGUGUUGCAGGGGAGACUGGAAUUCCUGGUGUAGCGGUGAAAUGCGCAGAUAUCAGGAGGAACACCAACGGCGAAGGCAGCUCGCUGGGACGGUACUGACACUGAGGCGCGGAAAAGCGU